This 509-nucleotide non-coding RNA is filed under the name Streptomyces luridiscabiei. RNAcentral's name for it is "bacterial SSU rRNA". The stretch from base 55 to 509 matches the Rfam family "Bacterial small subunit ribosomal RNA", at positions 1 to 473 of the family's 1533-position model. The record is from RNAcentral. RNAcentral also lists the same sequence under 1 other name. Lineage: Bacteria; Bacillati; Actinomycetota; Actinomycetes; Kitasatosporales; Streptomycetaceae.
GCGGCUGGAUCACCUCCUUAGAGUUUGAUCCUGGCUCAGUAUGCGGCUGGAUCACCUCNNNNNAGUUUGAUCCUGGCUCAGGACGAACGCUGGCGGCGUGCUUAACACAUGCAAGUCGAACGAUGAAGCCUUUCGGGGUGGAUUAGUGGCGAACGGGUGAGUAACACGUGGGCAAUCUGCCCUUCACUCUGGGACAAGCCCUGGAAACGGGGUCUAAUACCGGAUAACACUCUGUCCUGCAUGGGACGGGGUUAAAAGCUCCGGCGGUGAAGGAUGAGCCCGCGGCCUAUCAGCUUGUUGGUGGGGUAAUGGCCUACCAAGGCGACGACGGGUAGCCGGCCUGAGAGGGCGACCGGCCACACUGGGACUGAGACACGGCCCAGACUCCUACGGGAGGCAGCAGUGGGGAAUAUUGCACAAUGGGCGAAAGCCUGAUGCAGCGACGCCGCGUGAGGGAUGACGGCCUUCGGGUUGUAAACCUCUUUCAGCAGGGAAGAAGCGAAAGUGAC